ACCUUAUAGUAAUACGACUUGGCAUCAAGAUGUAUUUAAAGAUUUAUCGGUGAAAGAUGAGCAUGCGUCCCAUUAGCUAGUUGGUAAGGUAACGGCUUACCAAGGCAACGAUGGGUAGGGGUCCUGAGAGGGAGAUCCCCCACACUGGUACUGAGACACGGACCAGACUCCUACGGGAGGCAGCAGUGAGGAAUAUUGGACAAUGGGCGCAAGCCUGAUCCAGCCAUGCCGCGUGCAGGAUGACGGUCCUAUGGAUUGUAAACUGCUUUUAUACAGGAAGAAACAGUUCUACGUGUAGAACCUUGACGGUACUGUAAGAAUAAGGAUCGGCUAACUCCGUGCCAUCAGCCGCGGUAAUACGGAGGAUCCAAGCGUUAUCCGGAAUCAUUGGGUUUAAAGGGUCCGUAGGCGGUCAGAUAAGUCAGUGGUGAAAGCCCAUCGCUCAACGGUGGAACGGCCAUUGAUACUGUCUGACUUGAGUUAUUAGGAAGUAACUAGAAUAUGUAGUGUAGCGGUGAAAUGCUUAGAGAUUACAUGGAAUACCAAUUGCGAAGGCAGGUUACUACUAAUUGAUUGACGCUGAUGGACGAAAGCGUGGGUAGCGAACAGGAUUAGAUACCCUGGUAGUCCACGCCGUAAACGAUGGAUACUAGCUGUUGGGAGCAAUC
RNAcentral lists this ribosomal RNA (668 nucleotides) under Flavobacterium sinopsychrotolerans. RNAcentral's name for it is "bacterial SSU rRNA". It matches the Rfam family "Bacterial small subunit ribosomal RNA", at positions 168 to 834 of the family's 1533-position model. The record is from RNAcentral. Lineage: Bacteria; Pseudomonadati; Bacteroidota; Flavobacteriia; Flavobacteriales; Flavobacteriaceae.